Molecule: ribosomal RNA, 301 nt
Filed under: uncultured bacterium
Lineage: Bacteria
Description: partial 16S ribosomal RNA
Rfam family: Bacterial small subunit ribosomal RNA
Source: RNAcentral
CAGCAGCCGCGGUAAUACGAAGGGGGCUAGCGUUGCUCGGAAUGACUGGGCGUAAAGGGCGCGUAGGCGGCGGCCAAAGUCAGGCGUGAAAUUCCCGGGCUCAACCUGGGGGCUGCGUUUGAUACUUGGUUGCUUGAGUGGGGAAGAGGGUCGUGGAAUUCCCAGUGUAGGGGUGAAAUUCGUAGAUAUUGGGAAGAACACCGGUGGCGAAGGCGGCGACCUGGUCCUUGACUGACGCUGAGGCGCGAAAGCGUGGGGAGCAAACAGGAUUAGAUACCCCUGUAGUCCCUGUCUCUUAUAA